AGUCCCGUUUUAUGAUUAGAUGUCGCAGAGCAACAAGGAAGAAAUACUUCAGAAACUGCAUGAGUCCGAGAAGCAGGCCACCAUCCAACUUGUCCACGACCAGAACAAGAUAAAAGCAAUUGCCACUUCCUUAGAUAAAGACGCCAAGGUUUCCUGGUGGGAAAGUUUGUUUGGUUACAGCCCAAAGGCGACCUCCUUCUUCAAUCUAUUGAUCCAUCCUGUGAUAAUCCUUCUGGUUCUGGUCUUUAUUAUGUACAUGGGAUUGUGUCUGAUAUAUCGGAGAGUCAAGAGACUUGCAGAAAAAUUAAAUCGGAAUCAGACAGAAUUCCACAAAGCCACCCGUAGGAGACUCAGUACUUAAAUCAAGAACUUUAUAAACUUGUUCCUUUAUCGAGAGACUCCAGGCAAAGCUACCCUAAAUUCCCAAUUCUUGGAAAUGUAUAUAUAUUUCUCUAUGAGGUUUCUGGAUGCGGAUCUUUUGUUAUCCUGAAGCCCCAUGGUAUGGUGUUUAUAUAUUAUUGUUUUUUUUUGUUUGUUUUUUUUGAGAGGGGUGGGUGUUGGGUGUGUAAUUAUGGGAUUGUGAGUGUGAAUGGGGACUAGAACAGGGUUUAUUAGGGACAGGUCCCCUCCUAAACCAAGUGUAUUUGCCAAUCUCGCCCCAGGAGCAGUCAAGUUUGAACUGAAUGUCAGAUGAGUGCGGUGUUCUUUCCCGCAGUUAGAAUUUAGGUACCCUGGUAUCACCUCUGACUCCAAGUCUGAUCUGCCUUGUAAAGACCUAUCUAUCCGUCCAUGGGAGAACCCCCUCUGCAAUCAAGAUAAAGAGAAACAUGUCUGAUGGGAGUCUUGCCUACGAAAGUCCGGUUCUAACAGAGAACAGAAAGGCCAGUGUGCGAGACUACUCCAGGUUCAUUGGGGGUGGCCGACUCCUGAAGAUUGUAAAAAAAAAAAAAAAAAAACCAGUCCAAGAUUGUAACCUGGAUUGGCCUAAAAACUAUGAGGGUGAAGCCAUUCCAGAAAGUAUGGCCCCUAAAAGACGAUAGCGUGAGCAGCUGAAACCUCAAAGACCACCAUAGACUGCAGCUGGUUACAGAAAGAAAGGCCAGUCUACGGAAAUUGACUCAAAGACUGUGAAAGAAAGACCAAGAUGCAGAGAGAAGAAGACGGGAUACUCUGAGGAUGGAGACUAAGGUUACGGUGAACGGCAAGUCAGAGAUAGUCGCAGUGGGUGAUGUCUAGGUACCUAAGGACCAUAGUAUACUUCAGUCCUUCCUGAACUGUCACCAAGAGUGGGGUAGAGAGGGGCAAAUACAUAUCCAUCCUUCCCGCCAAAGUUAAUUGUCGUAUUCCCGACAACAGGGGGAUUGUAAGGGAAGGAUGGGACCCAUCCCCCCCCAACCCCUCCCUGCCUCCCAGCAGGGAGGGAAAGCCAGGCAAGGUCUGGCCGGAGGAUCUGCUUUGAUCCUCCUAUCACCAUGCCGGCCCACAUGUUAGAGUAGUGUGUGUGUCGGAGGAGGGGCGUGUGUGCAUGCUGCUGGGCAGGACUGAGCAGGGUUUAAAAGGCCUGGCGCAGCUGCACUCGGUCUCUUCUUCUUGUGUGCAUCGCCCGGAGAACAUCACCCCCCUGGACAACGAGCAUUUAAACCUGGCUGAGUAUAUCAACCCCUACUAUCCCACCAACGAAUCCCAUUAACCCCUACUGCUCAAACCCCUACUAUCCCACCAACGAAUCCCAUUAACAAACCUCUACUAUCCCACCAACGAUCCCACUCAUACCCCUAUUAUCCCACCAACGAAAACCCUUACUGAUAUCACCAAUUCCCUAUCCCCUGUACCCCAAUUCCCUUUUGUUGGUUUAGGGAAAGUUUAGCACCAGGAAGGGCGGGCAAUUAUAACGUGUGUGAUUGUGUAUGUGUAGUUAGAUUGUGGGUGAAUUUUGGGGAUUGUUAGUGUAAAGGAGGAUUGUUUUAUUUAGUUGUUUUAUGUUGUGUAAUUUGUAUAUCUGCAUUAGAGGUAGUUGCUGUUUCUAUUGUUGAGUGUCGUAUUAAAUAUAUAUUGUGUUAUUUGUAA
Molecule: long non-coding RNA, 2067 nt
Organism: Xenopus laevis (African clawed frog)
Lineage: Eukaryota; Metazoa; Chordata; Amphibia; Anura; Pipidae
Exons: 2
Source: RefSeq, a predicted model, not a curated record